GACCCCGGAGGUCACCGCCCGCCGGCGCGUUGCGCUCGCGGGUGCGUUUCGU
This 52-nucleotide small RNA is filed under the name Oharaeibacter diazotrophicus. Its description in RNAcentral is "ffh sRNA". It matches the Rfam family "ffh sRNA". The record is from RNAcentral. Lineage: Bacteria; Pseudomonadati; Pseudomonadota; Alphaproteobacteria; Hyphomicrobiales; Pleomorphomonadaceae.